RNAcentral lists this ribosomal RNA (642 nucleotides) under Gymnosporangium granulatosporum. RNAcentral describes it as "Gymnosporangium sp. LW-2021b partial large subunit ribosomal RNA". It matches the Rfam family "Eukaryotic large subunit ribosomal RNA", at positions 13 to 638 of the family's 3401-position model. The record is from RNAcentral. Lineage: Eukaryota; Fungi; Basidiomycota; Pucciniomycetes; Pucciniales; Gymnosporangiaceae.
AGGUGGAGUUACCCGCUGAACUUAAGCAUAUCAAUAAGCGGAGGAAAAGAAACUAACAAGGAUUCCCCUAGUAACGGCGAGUGAAGAGGGAUCAGCCCAAAUUUGUAAUCUGGCUCUUCCAGAGUCUGAGUUGUAAUUUUAAGAACUGUUUUCUGCUUUGGACCAUGUACAAGUCUGUUGAAAUGCAGCAUCAUUGAGGGUGAGAAUCCUGUUCAUGAUAUGGACUACCAAGGCUUUAUGAUACAGUCUCCAAGAGUCGAGUUGUUUGGGAAUGCAGCUCAAAGUGGGUGGUAAAUUCCAUCUAAGGCUAAAUAUUGGUGAGAGACCGAUAGCAAACAAGUACCGUGAGGGAAAGAUGAAAAGAACUUUGGAAAGAGAGUUAACAGUACGUGAAAUUGUUAAAAGGGAAACAGUUGAAGUUAGACUUGUUGUUGUUGGUUCAGCUCUUUAAGGGUGUUUUCUGAUGAUUAACAAACCAACAUCAAUUUUUGGGUGUUGGAUAAGGGUCAUUGAAAUGUAGCAGUUUUGGCUGUGUUAUAGUCUUUGACUUGGAUACAAUGCCUGGGAUUGAGGAAUGCAGUAAGCCAUUUAUUUGGUGGGACAAUUUAUUGUUCUUCUUACUGAGGAUGUUGGUGCAAUAGC